This 492-nucleotide ribosomal RNA is filed under the name uncultured bacterium. Its description in RNAcentral is "partial 16S ribosomal RNA". It matches the Rfam family "Bacterial small subunit ribosomal RNA", at positions 29 to 507 of the family's 1533-position model. The record is from RNAcentral.
AGUGAACGCUGGCGGUAGGCCUAACACAUGCAAGUCGAACGGCAGCACAGUAAGAGCUUGCUCUUACGGGUGGCGAAUGGCGGACGGGUGAGGAAUACAUCCUACUCUACUUUUUCGUGGGGGAUAACGUAGGGAGACUUACGCUAAUACCGCAUACGACCUACGGGUGAAAGCAUGGGAUCUUCGGACCUUGCGCGAUUGAAUGCGCCGAUGUUGGAUUAGCUAGUUGGCGGGGUAAAGGCCCACCAAGUCGAGGAUACGUAGCUGGUCUGAGAGGAUGGUCAGCCACAUUGGAACUGAGACACGGUCCAGACUACUACGGGAGGCAGCAGUGGGGAAUAUUGGGCAAUGGGCGGAAGCCUGAUCCAGUCAUACCGCGUGGGUGAAGAAGGCCUUCGGGUUGUAAAGCCCUUUUGUUGGGAAAGAAAAGCAGCAGGUUAAUACCCCGCUGUUCUGACGGUACCCAAAGAAUAAGCACCGGCUAACUUCGUG